AUUGAACGCUGGCGGCAUGCCUUACACAUGCAAGUCGAACGGCAGCAUAGGAGCUUGCUCCUGAUGGCGAGUGGCGAACGGGUGAGUAAUAUAUCGGAACGUGCCCUAGAGUGGGGGAUAACUAGUCGAAAGACUAGCUAAUACCGCAUACGAUAUACGGAUGAAAGUGGGGGAUCGCAAGACCUCAUGCUCCUGGAGCGGCCGAAAUCUGAUUAGCUAGUUGGUGGGGUAAAAGCCUACGAAGGCGACGAUCAGUAGCUGGUCUGAGAGGACGACCAGCCACACUGGGACUGAGACACGGCCCAGACUCCUACGGGAGGCAGCAGUGGGGAAUUUUGGACAAUGGGGGCAACCCUGAUCCAGCAAUGCCGCGUGAGUGAAGAAGGCCUUCGGGUUGUAAAGCUCUUUUGUCAGGGAAGAAACGGUAGUAGCUAAUAUCUAUUACUAAUGACGGUACCUGAAGAAUAAGCACCGGCUAACUACGUGCCAGCAGCCGCCGUAA
RNAcentral lists this ribosomal RNA (502 nucleotides) under uncultured bacterium. RNAcentral's name for it is "partial 16S ribosomal RNA". It matches the Rfam family "Bacterial small subunit ribosomal RNA", at positions 30 to 523 of the family's 1533-position model. The record is from RNAcentral.